UGCCAGGUGGCGCUUCAUCAGGAUUUGAGACGGGCUCAGUCCACCUGGACAAUCAAACUCCGCCCACUCCCACCCUAGCCAAGGCUCUAGAGUGCUUUCAUUCUCGCCCCCUUCAACUCCGCCUUAAUCCGCGUGCCUGAACCCUUGGUGUUCAGAAAGAGAACUGGGCUAGGGGAGGAGAAAGCGGAAGAGGCCGGCAACAGUCUGCCAGUUCUUGUGCCUCACUAACUUCCUCGGGCUAGAAAAGGACCCGCCGAAAGGGGCACUGUGGCCUUAUAUACAUCCUGUUUGUAUUUCUUCAUUAAGACUGCCUUGCAUCAAGACAAAACUAGAGAAGAUGAGCCUACAGAGUAAGGUCUUUAUUCUUCGAUCAGGUAAAGUCAAACUUGAAGUGGGCUGGCAUUACACCAAAGCAACUAGAACUCGCUGCCACUGACAGAAGCAGCUGGCAAACCCACAUUAACCAUGCUGCCGCCACCUUUGAAGACGAACGACGUCGACGUCUUGCUGCUGCGCUUGAACACUGACACCAGGCCACAACCGCACCUCCUGUAACAACUGGUGUCCCAUCCUCCAUGUUCCACAAACUCUGCACCUCAGUCUUACAUCAAUAGAUGAUAAUGCACAAAGACAAUUGUCAUUCUCGGUCACCAAGAGACUACCACUACUGGUUAAAGAAGGAUAGGCCAGGGUUGCUAAGUAAUAAAAUCUAAGUCAAGGCCA
RNAcentral lists this long non-coding RNA (723 nucleotides) under Monodelphis domestica (gray short-tailed opossum). RNAcentral describes it as "lncRNA (ENSMODG00000034853.2)". Lineage: Eukaryota; Metazoa; Chordata; Mammalia; Didelphimorphia; Didelphidae. The record is from RNAcentral.